Echinops telfairi (small Madagascar hedgehog) is the source of this 287-nucleotide long non-coding RNA. RefSeq lists it as uncharacterized. The record is from RefSeq and is a predicted model, not a curated record. The transcript has 3 exons. Lineage: Eukaryota; Metazoa; Chordata; Mammalia; Afrosoricida; Tenrecidae.
GGCUUCCUCUCCCCAGGUGACUCCUCUCUCCGGGCACCCACCCGAAGCAGAGCCGCGCGGACAGACGCCAGGCUCGGCUCCCAGGAGUUGAUCUGAAUGUGGCGUUUUAUGGAGAAUCUUGGAAACCAAAGGACUCUAAACGCUGCCAGUAAAGCUGCUUUAUAAUCCAGACUCUGCUCUACUCCUAUUCCUUUGUAUUGUUUUCAAAUACCACAUUUCAAGGAAGAGUGACUUAGCUUAAAGGUUUUACAAAUAUAUCAAAGACGUCUCUUUAAGUGGAUACCUGU